GGAGUGGACGGGGGUCCGUCAUUUCAUGUGGCCCAGAAGUAGAUAUCGCCGUCCACUCCAAUACAAGUGGGGAACAGGAUUGUGUCUCCGCAAGAAAUGUUUGGAUAUCAAUCAAAGGCUCAUAAUUAUAUUUCUACCCUGUUCUAAAAAAAUGUACGUUUUUUCUUUUCAAAACGCCUCCUCAAGCGUUUUAUUAGCAGUUUACGUUGGGUACAGCAGCUGAAACGAGCCGUACUGAAACAAACGGCUCCUUGCUAUGAUCCUAUUUUGAAGUGCACGGCUCCAUUAACUUCCGAAUUAAAUUAAAUUCCGAAUUAACUUCCAUUAACUUCCAAAGACAAUGUGGUAUUGGCAUAUAUGUUCCAGAAUUUGAAAAAGGAUAUGGAUAUAGAGUGGGUGACUUUAUCAGUAUACUCAAUCGAGAUGGCCACAAUAAUAACCGCUCUUAGAUGGGUUGUAGAUACUAAGUUUUAUAACAAAUAAUUCAAUACGUGAAGAUUUGGUGAUAGAGGUAAAGCAUCUUCUUUUAAAUAUUAUAAGCCUUGGUUUAGUUAUUCAGU
Long non-coding RNA from Gadus macrocephalus (Pacific cod), 560 nucleotides. RefSeq lists it as uncharacterized. NCBI's taxonomy places the organism in Eukaryota, Metazoa, Chordata, Actinopteri, Gadiformes, Gadidae. The transcript is spliced from 2 exons. The record is from RefSeq and is a predicted model, not a curated record.